This 74-nucleotide transfer RNA is filed under the name Candidatus Chazhemtobacterium aquaticus. Its description in RNAcentral is "tRNA-Trp". It matches the Rfam family "tRNA". Rfam says of the family: Transfer RNA (tRNA) molecules are approximately 80 nucleotides in length. The record is from RNAcentral. Lineage: Bacteria; Candidatus Chazhemtobacteraceae.
AGGCCCGUAGUGAAACGGCAUCACAACUCUCUCCAAAAGAGUUAUUCCAGGUUCGAAUCCUGGCGGGCCUGCCC